UAUUACACCACACCACAUAAAAUGGAUGUCUCUCUUACAUAGUGGAAUGGAUCAGAGAGAAUUGUAUUAGAAGAAAAUUGUCCGUGGAGUAUGUAUGGAAGCGAUUCGUGAAUGCAAGGUUUUUUUUUUCUUUUUCUUUUCUAACUUUUAAUUUUCAUUGUUAUCCACGUUAUCUUGAUUUUGUUUUUCUUAUUUUUUAAACCUAAUUUAUUAUUAUGUACUUUAUUUUGGUUUUAUUUUUUUAUUGCGAUAUACUUAUCUUUGUUUAAGGAUGACCACUUGCCAAGUCAUAAGGGCUAGGAAUAUUUUUUUAAACAUCGUUCAAAGAAAAACAAAGUGCUAGGGAUGCACGCUUUGGAUAUAAGAGAUAAUAAACUGAAGGGCUAAACCAAGUUUUUGAAUUAAUUUACUGGCAUAUCAAUUUCAAAGUUGGUUAAUUUAACUUCACUUUAUAUAUACUCUAUAUGCAACAGAUUUAAAACAUGAUGUUAUUAUCGUGGGAUGUGGGCAAGGACCAUCAAUUGAAGAAGUAUCGAGGAACUGUCACACAACAAAGAGCGAUAAAGGUUAGGCCAAAAUUGACAGAACACAUGUCAUGAAGGUUAUUAAGGAUUGAGUGUGCAUGUAUCAUUUAUGGCGGUAUAACAUAUGAGAAGCCAAAUGGUGAACUAUAUUAAAUACAAUAUGCUAAUAAAACAAACAACUCUUUUUAAAUAUAAAGAGAAAUAUACAAUGCAACCUUCAACAUGAUAAUGACAUUGACUUUAUUAUUUAUUUUGAUAUUUUCAACCUGAUAAAUUUAAUUUUAUGUUCACUAUAAAUUUUUUAAUAAACUAAGAAAACGAGGAAAGAAAAUUUUACAAAUAAGAGAAGAUAAGAAAAACUAAGAGAAAUUUUAGGAUAAAAUAAAAUAUAAAAAAUUAUUUUCUAAAUUAAUAUAGAACUUAAUUCAUGGUUACAAAAAUUCAUUUUUUUUACUUAGUUAUAUAAAAUGUAAAUUAAAUUACUGAUAUUAUAAUUAUUUGUUUUUAUCUUUUUAUUUCUCUCUAAAGAUGGUAGCAUUUUAAUAUAAAUAUUUUAAAAAAUAAUAACUUAAUAAUUGUGAUAAUAAUUAAUACUAAUAUAUUUUUUAAAAAUUAUUACUUUAUUUUAUAAAAUAUUAGUAAUUUUUUAAUAAUGAAAUUAUAUUUAAAAAAAUGUUAAAAUUAGUUUAUAAUUGUUGGUCUUAUUUUAAAAAGGUAAAAAAAAAUGAGUAAAAUAUAUUUUAAAUGUUAGACUCGAAUGUAAAGUAAAACCUAAUUAAAUGAUAAUAAUAAUAAUAAAUAUUAAUUGAAAAGUAAAAAAUAAAAAAUAUAUAAGAAAGAGAGACCAGCUUGCAGCACAUUGAGAGAGUAUGAGAAAGAAGUAAUGAAUAAGAGCCAAGAGCCGACGGCCGCAUACGGGGAGAAAAGUAAGAAAUUGGUAUCCAUCGUUUCAAAAAACUUCUUCUCUUUUCAUUCAAAUUUCAAUAUGUCAUUAUACUUAUUUAAUUAAUUAACUAAAUAUAACUUUUCAGAUUUUGUAUUAUUCCAAUUUAUCUUUAAAAUAUUCAAUUUCUCUUUAAAUAUUAAAUAUUUAUUAUAUUAAAUAUAAUUAAUGAUAAUAAUGUUGUGAAUUUGUGAUGAGAUAUUGAAGUAACUUCAUAUUUGAUGAAAUAACGGUGAUUUCAAUUUCUGUUUGAGGUGACGGUCUUAAUGGAGUAUCAUAAGUCAACAAUGGGAGAAAAUAAAUAUUGAGAAUUUGUGAAGUGAUGAUUAUUUUUUCAUCAUAUAGGUAGAGUGUGACAAACCUAGUGAUUCCAAGGAAGUACAACUGAAUAAGUCUGAUCAUGGCAGUCUGCUUUGAGCCUUGAAGGUAUUUGGUUGGAUAAUUACUAGGUAACUUGGAGGUAGCACUCCAAAUAUCAGGAGCUACCAUGCAACACACGUUUACCUCGACUGUCGCAUAUAUGUGUCUCGAGUUGAGUUUAGGGUGAUUUAUGAGAACAUACCAAUUUAAAUUGUCUAUUCACCGGAAUGUUGGCAUAAUAUCAAGCCUCAUAACCAAAUAUUUCAGAAUUAGAAUGGUACUAUAUUGUGUAGAGUCUAAGCUCAUUCACAUAAUUGCAUUUUUUUAUAUUGUUUUGUUGUGAUUAAUAUGUAUUGUGUGCGAUAAUAAUUUCUUUUAGACGA
Molecule: long non-coding RNA, 2210 nt
Filed under: Cicer arietinum (chickpea)
Lineage: Eukaryota; Viridiplantae; Streptophyta; Magnoliopsida; Fabales; Fabaceae
Description: long non-coding RNA (CARI_LNC001629)
Source: RNAcentral